Molecule: long non-coding RNA, 6713 nt
Filed under: Sus scrofa (pig)
Lineage: Eukaryota; Metazoa; Chordata; Mammalia; Artiodactyla; Suidae
Description: lncRNA (ENSSSCG00000058437.1)
Source: RNAcentral
CAUUCAAUAUCUAAUGUUCAAUUAAUCCAUCAGUAUUUAUUAGGUCCUUAUUAUAUUCUCAGGCACUGCUAGUAGCUGAGUAUCUCUCUUCAAAUAACAAAGCAAUUUAUUCUCUGCAAUAUCUGUAACUUCAUUUAACAAAAUUCAUGCAUUUUAAAUAUUUUUUAUUUCCUUCCUUAGGUAUUAACUAAAUAUUUUAUGAACAUUAUUUCUAAUCUUCCCCAAAUCUCUGCAGAGCAGAAAUUACUACCCUUUUUAAAUAAAUGAGACCUCGAGACUCACAGGCACUGAGUGACAUACCUAAAGUCACAAAUCUAGUAGAGGGAGAGGGGUUUUCCAAACCCAGUUUACUAAACCACAUGCUUAGGGACUGUCAAAACCUUACUAGAAAGUCUUCACAGUCAGGGAAAAGUAUCUAGAAAUGUCACUGACCAGUCUGGAGUUCUCCGUAAUUUAUUCAUUCAAUAUAUUUUUAAUUGGCUUUUGAUUAAAUAAAGAUCUUAGUUUGUAUUUUUUUUUUCUUUUCUUUUUACAGCUGCACCGGAAACAUACGGAAAUUCCCAGACCAGGGGUCAAAUCGGAGCUGCAGUUGAGGCCUAUGCCAGAGCCAUGACAAUACCAGAUCCAAGUUGCAUCUCUGACCCAUGCCACAGCUUGCAGCAAUGCCAGGACCCUUAACCCCCUGAGCAAGGCCAGGGAUCCAACCCACAUCCUCACAGAGACAACAAUGGGUCCUUAACCCACUGAGCCACAAUGGGAACUCCAAAGACCUCAGUUAUUGAUUUUAGACAAUGAAUCAGCAAGGUUAUGGGCUGGACAAGGAAUGGAACUAGAAAAAAGUCAGAGGAAGGAAGAUGAUCUGGGAAUAAAAUCUAGUGCAAGAGACGAUCUGAAGAGAGAUGACCACUGUGAUUCUAGAAUUCAAAAGUUCUCCUUAGUUGAGAAAUUCUCCUUAACUGAUAUUCAAGGUUCUAUGUUAGAUGCUGGGACUACAAUGAUGAAUCCUAGAAGCACACAUGUAAGGAGAUAAUUAUAAAAUAGAGUCAAUACUUUAUCAGAUCCUAAGAGAGGAAAGAAGGCAGCUGGAAACUGCUAAGGUGGAAAAUUAAGAGAAUUAAGCAAAUUAAAUAUAUAAAUACAUCAUGUAUAUGUAACCAAAAUUAAAUUAUAUGUAUUAUACAUAUAUAUGCACAUAUAUAUAAUGAAGGUAUACAAAGGCAGUAUUUACCUUAGGACAGAAAAUUUCUUGAGAGUAGGGGCAAUGUAUUAUACUUUACUAUACAUUUUAGAUUCUAUAUUUAAAUAUAAAUGCAUGCUAUAUAUUAACUAUAUAUUUUAGAUUUAUCCACCAAAAUUAUUUUAUCCCUGAUAAGUGAUCCUUAGGAAAUACUUAAACUAUUUUCUUUGCUGAAUGCCUAAGCGGACAAUUUCUUAUUCCUUCAGCUUUAUUUUAUCUGAGUUUUAAGUUCUUUAUCUAUGUUGAAAUUCUACUCAAGGCCUCUAAUAAUAACCACAAUACUUGUAAAAUCUUUAUUGCUUUAUAGUUUCCAAAGUAUUGUCACAGAACUAUUUUUUUUCCCUUGGAACAGUCUGGGUUCUCAUUUGACAGGUCCCUAGAAGUCAUGGAAGGCUAUGGGACAUCUUUGUGGUCACUCAGGUGGGAAAGGGAUAUUUAAAUCCUGGGCUUAUGAGCCUAGAGCCCCUAACAUUUUACUGACUCUAUGAGAAAGAAUUUAAAGUGAGACACGCAUGUUUCAUAAGCCUAAAUUUUAAAAAAUUUCUUUCACUAUACUGGAGUGCUGUUGGGCUUUGUUAGAUCAUCAGAACUGGAGCUACUCUUUAUCAACUGUGAGUCUUCAGUAGAUUGAAAUAUUAGGUUCCUAGCACAAAUGAACAUCUCCUCAGAAAAGAGCAUCAUUAAUAAGUUUCUUAGAUUAUUAAUCUAAGUUUCAGAAUUUUCCUACUUUGAAAUGCGAAUAACAACUACUUCAGAAGGGCUGCACAGAUGACAUGAGACCACACGAAGGCAUCACUAUCAUCAGAGCAGCAGUCCUUGUGAGUUACGGCAAACCCAGGAAGCGUGAGUAUCAUACAUUUAAUCUGCCCAAGGAAGCAUCGAGGAAGAAAUGGAAAUUAAAUCAGCCUUUACAGGAAGAUAAAUUUUAGGUUGGUCAAAAAGAGAAUUCUAGAGAGAGGCGCAAAACAAGUGCAGACAGGAAAAAGAAUGGCAAAAAUUAAAGGAAAAUUAGAUGACCAUUCUGACCAAGGAAUAUUUAUGUUGAAGAAUCAAGAAGUUAAGGGAAAAGAGUGAAAUGAAAUUAACUGAAGGGGCUUGGAUUCCAGGCUGAGAAAAUGUGACUAUUAAUUUCCCUUCUACCAACGUCUGCAGCAGGGAUAACACAAUAGAAAUGAUGUUUUGGAAGAGAGCUCGAAGAUCAGCACCUGUUUGACAGGAAGAGUUCAGAAUAGGAGGCAGGACAAAGGUUCCUGCAAUCACCACAACAGACGUGAAGUGAUCAGCUUAUCCGAGCGGGAAGCAGAUGAAAUGUCUUCUUCUGUGUCUCCUCAGGUUUUCACAGGAGCUUCAAAAUCCACAUUUCCACAAGCCCUUCAAAUAUGACUUGCAUCUGUAUUCUCUCUCCUUAUCCCACCAGCCAUUUUGUCACCCAAAUAUAGGAACUGUCUGUAACUUUAUAUUAUCCCAUCAUGUCACCCAUUCACACAUAAAAUCCUGUCAGUUCUGCUUGGCAAAUCUUUCCUCCAACCUCAUGGCCACGGCAAAUAUUCACUGGGCAGCUCCUCCGAAGUUGGCCCCAGGAUACGCUGGCAGACGUGUGGUUUACGGUCUAGCACAGAAGCCAGGCACUGAGUCAACGUCUCAAGUGUGACCCUUGCUACAGGGAAGUACCAGGUCCCCUUGCAUAUCACAGGGUUAAAUCCUGAUCUGAAAGGUCAAUGAAGGCUUUUCUAGAGAAGUGAUACUGAAAUUGAAACCUAAAUGAUAAAAAGGAGUUAAGUGAUAAAAGACAAGUAAAAAAAUUCCAGAGAGAAAGAGUAAUGUCUACAAUGAUUGUGAAUUGGUAAAUCAAGCGGCGUGUGUGGGGAAAACAAUUUCUUAAAACGAACAGAUGACCAGUUCUGUGUGCCUUUUGCUGAACUACAAUGGUUUUCUUAUUUUUCUUUUUUUCCUUUCUUUAUUGGACUGCUCUCACUGGGUUUUCACCUUGCUGCUAGAGUGACCUUUCUAAAAUGCAAAGCUCAUUAUGCUACAAAUUCCACGAAGAUUCCCCACAGCCUACUUAGUAAAGGUCAAAUUCCUAGUAUGGUGAUGAGAUCCUUCAGUUUCGUUCACUCUGCCUUCCACUCCCCCCAACCGUAAUUGCCAAUGAUACUAUUUAUAGCUCUUCAAAUAACUCAUGCCGGUUCACCUACUAAUGUCUUUGUCAAAUGCUAUUACCCCGACCUAGAAUGCCUUUGUCUGCUUGGAAAACUCCUACACAUCCUUUAAUGGAAUUCAUAUUCCAUAUUCUCUGAACCAAAGUUUAGCAAACUAUAGUUCUCAUGAGCCAUAAUCUAACCAUCUGCCUAUCAAUGUAUGACCUAUGAGCUAAAAGUGGUUUUCAUAAUUUUUCUAAACUGAAAUAAAAUGAAAAGAAGGAUAUUUUGUGACACGUGAAAAUUAUAUCAAGUUCAAACAUCAAUGGCCAUAAAUGCAGUUUUACUGGACUACAUCUAUGCCCACUUGUUUACAUAUUGUCUAUGGCUGCUCAGUAAAUAUUUAUCAUAUGAAUAAAUGUGAAUGGGGUCAUGGGCUUGGAAGGUGAGAAUGAAUAUGGAUUGUGUUGAGCACUAAACUGACAUGUAAUAUUCACAUCACAAAUUUAUUCUACUUUUCUUCAUGACUUCUUGCUGAAUUUUAAAAAUGUAAUAAAACGCAAAUUCAUUUUCUUUCAAACUCCAGAAAUAUAAGACAGGUGUGACUAAAUAGGAGGAGCCAUACUGCAUAUUAAGGUUACAUCACAAGCUCUAGUAACUAACUAUGAACUUUCAUUAGUUGGAGGACCAUUUCCUGACUUUUAUAGGAACCUUUAUGAGCAGUAUAUUCACACUUGCUAAUGCCGUGGGCCCUUGGGCCAACUUUUCAUCUUUUCUUACCACUGAAUUAUUUGUCUUUUGUACAUGAGGCUGCAUUUAACUUGGCUGAAAAGCAAGAACAGAUAUGAUCACAAUGUAAGAAUUAAAAAUCGUCCCUCUACUUAAAAGAAACACGCACGCACAUGCACACAGGGUUCACAGAGUCCACAGGAAGAUAUUUUUCCUCAACUGUUAAUACAGUGGAGACCCAGCUUUCAUCCAGGAUAUGUCUAGCAUGGAGAUUUAGAACCAGUUGCUCAUUUUCACUGGAAUAUUGGAAUGGGACCUUUAGAAAUCUAUGUCUGUGAAAGAAUCCUGAAGCCUCCUGGGAAUUAAUUUAUUCUGAGAAAAAAGAGAGUCUAGGGAACAAGUUUAAGAUAGCAGCGGAGCUUCGGGGGUCACAGAAGAGAGGUAACUCUGAAAAUAGCAGGGUCUUGGCUCUAACUGUCUGCCAGACCGGCACCACGGAUUCACAGCUAGUCCCUAUUUGUGAAUGUUAAACCUCAAAGGACAGGUUCUCAGGAUCUUGGUACGAUGUCCAGUCACAGGCAGCAUUACCUUAGCUCCUCUUCAAUACAGUGCACAGAAAGGGAAACAAAAGAAAGAAAAAGUGGGAGCAAAGGAAGGAGAAAGCCCGUCUCUUUCAUUUGAUGGCUUUGAGUUUAAAACAGGUUCUUGAUUCAAUGUCAGUGACAGAAGCAUGAGCUGUGGUCCUGACCACAUGGAGAGACACUUGCAGAGGAGUUUAGUGGGAAUAAAGCUAUGCCCAAGACAGAUGAAUUUCGCUAUCUGACUUGUUCCGUUCAAUGAGUCCUUAAAUUUUAAGUCAUAAUUUUUUUUUUUUCCAAAUUCUCCUUUGGGAGAAAGGCAUAUUUAGAAGUAAACCAAAUGUUACUAAAAUUUAAUCACAAAAACAGAUGUACAUCAUAUAUUUUAAAUUAUUCUUAUAUUCUGCACCUCUUAUACCUACUACAGUCAGAAUUCUUUUAAGAGAUAGAAGAGACGUUAGAAAUCAUUACUGGCAUCUCCUUUAUUUUAGAGAUAACGAAGCCAAACAUCAGAGAGGUUAACUACAUUUCCUUUGAUAAAUUAGUGAUAAAACUCAGACUAGAUCCAGGACACUUAAUAUCCUUGUUUGCUCCACUUCUUCCACUCCACUUACUCAAAGAGGAAAAAAAAAAUUAAUGCAGUGAUUGAGAACUCAAAAAUCUAUUCCUUAAUUAAUUAAAUACUUUUUGAGGGCUCACUGCAUAUGAGUGCCAUGCUAGGUUUCGGCAAUAUGAAAUGAGGACCUCACAGUCGUGGUCCCCAAAGACAGACAUGUUGAAGGAGACAGACACAAGCACAAAGAACCUCCAGGCGUCACGAGAAGCCCAGCCCAGCCCAUGAUAACCUGUGAAAUGUGCCUCCGUGUAAAAAGUCAACCUGAACUCUAAGACAGGGAUCCAGGGUUGUCACUCGAAAGAGGUAACAUUUGAGGGUGUCUUGAAAAAUGAAGAGCCUCUCACCAGAUGGUGAAAUUCUAGACCACAGACCCAACAUAGAUCAAGCAUCAAAGGCUCAUUUAAACACCACUGGGGGCCAGGUGAUACGCUGCAUACUGGAAUACAAGAGAAAGAAAGAGAAGGUCUCUGCCUGCAUGUAUCUCUUAUUCUAGUGGGGAUCCGAAGUGGGACGAGCAGGUGAUCGGCCUUUUAGAAGUAUAACACAAAUCGUUGUUAAGGAGGUUUAAUUGGGCACAGAAAGGAUGAGGAAGCUGGGUCCCUUCCUGAGGAAGUGACACUGACGUUAACGCCUGAAAGAGGAUAGGAGAAUUAACUCCCCUAAGUGGAUUACGGAGUAGGAAGAGCAUUAAGAGGCCGUGUCAUGUCUAAUGGCCCUGAAACAAUAAGCAGCUGAGAAUAAAAAUGGGCAGGGUUUGGACAUAAAACAAGAGGGACAGUUCCCUAUGCUAUAGCACAGGGAACCCUACUGAAUACUCUGUGAUAACCUAUGUGGGAAAAGAGUAUGAAAAAGAGCAGGUACGUAUAACUAAAUCGCUUUGUUGUACAACAGAAAUAAACAUAACAUGUGAAUCAACUACAUUUCACAUAAAAUGUUUUAAAAAAUAAAAGAACAAUAGGGACAGAAGUGGCCUAAGAUUGCGCUAGAGAGGUAGGGGGGCCUGGUCGAGGAAGACCUGUGAACAAUUAUCAUUGAAGCCACUGAGGAUUUAAAAGGAGAGGAAUAGGAUGCUCAAAUUUGUAAUCUUAAACAUCACUCUGACUCCAAGGGCAAAGCCACCAGGAAAGACAAGGCACACUCAGGAAUGGAAGAUAAUUUUGUAAGUCUAGAGUUUAGGGCCUGAGGCAGAGUCUCAGGAGAUGGCAGAUGCUGAAGGACAUUCCCUUCUGUCUCAGGGUAGGACUUGUGCCUUUUAACCAGCAGACUACAGGCACAGAUUAAUGAUUUAUAGACAGAAGAAUAAAAUAUUCAGACCACAAGAAUCAUGACAAAAAGACUCAAAUAUAUCCAGGACAUUGUAGUUACCAGUAUAGAUAACAGAUUGACAGAUCUUAGAAGUAUUUUACUUAGGUUGG